RNAcentral lists this ribosomal RNA (446 nucleotides) under uncultured bacterium. RNAcentral describes it as "partial 16S ribosomal RNA". It matches the Rfam family "Bacterial small subunit ribosomal RNA", at positions 338 to 795 of the family's 1533-position model. The record is from RNAcentral.
CCUACGGGGGGCAGCAGUCGAGAAUCAUUCACAAUGGGGGAAACCCUGAUGGUGCGACGCCGCGUGGGGGAAUGAAGGUCUUCGGAUUGUAAACCCCUGUCAUGUGGGAGCAAAUUAAAAAGAUAGUACCACACGAGGAAGAGACGGCUAACUCUGUGCCAGCAGCCGCGGUAAUACAGAGGUCUCAAGCGUUGUUCGGAAUCACUGGGCGUAAAGCGUGCGUAGGCUGUUUCGUAAGUCGUGUGUGAAAGGCGCGGGCUCAACCCGCGGACGGCACAUGAUACUGCGAGACUAGAGUAAUGGAGGGGGAACCGGAAUUCUCGGUGUAGCAGUGAAAUGCGUAGAUAUCGAGAGGAACACUCGUGGCGAAGGCGGGUUCCUGGACAUUAACUGACGCUGAUGCUCGAAAGUGUGGGUAUCAAACAGGAUUAGAUACCCUUGUAGUC